AAGCCUGCAACCUAGGUUUAGCCAAUGAAUCCAAGGGUAUGAAUGAGCUUACAUUGGGAGAUUUACAAUGAGGAGAGAUAAGGGCUGAGAUCCAAAUCUUGAGUAAUUUCAAUAUUUCAUGGCCAGACACUGAAGAAUGAGCUGUAGAAGGAACAGAGAGUUAGAAGCUAGAAAAGUACAUGGAGAACCAUACAACUGUGGUGUCAUAAAAGACUUAUCUUCUGCUGUGUUACCCUGGUUGACUCCAGUUUGGCUUCUACUCCAUGGAAGAGGUUUUACAUUUCAUCUGGCCCUGUGAAUGUGGACUCCGUUUCUCCCCUCCCUGUGCUGACAUUUCUUCCAUUUUGUCCCCCUGAGUGGUGCAAGACAGGAACUUGGAUGGAGCCAGAGGCCAUUAUCCUUAGCAAACUAACACAGGAACAGAAAACCAAAUGCCACAUGUUCUCACUUGUAAGUGGAAGCUCAAUGAUGAGAACACAUGGACGCAAAGAAGAGAACAACAGACACCGGGGCCUACUUAAGGGUGGGGGGUGGGAGGAGGGAGAGGAUCAGAAAAAAUAACUACUCGGUACUGGGCUUUAGUCCCUGGGUAAUGAAAUAAUCUGUGCAACAAACCCUUGUGACAUAAGUUUACCUAUAUAGCAGACUUGCACAUGCACCCCUGAACCUAAAAUAAAAGUUUUGAAAAAUGGGCAAAUGAUUUGAAUAGAUGUUUCUCAAAAGAAGACCUACAAUGGCAAAAAGGCAUAUGAAAAGAUGCUUAACAUCAUUGAUCAUCAGAGAAAUGCAAAUCAAAACUAUGAUGAGCAAAUCCUGGCAAGGAUGUGGAGAAAAGGGAACCCUCGUACCCUGUUGGUGGGAAUGUAAAUUAGGACAAACACUAUGGAGAACAGUGGUUCUCAAAAAACUAAAAACGGAGCUACCAUAUGAUCCAGCAAUUCCACUGCUGGGUGUAUACUGAAAAGAAAGGAAAUCCAUAUAUCAAACAGAUAUCUGCACUCCUAUGUUUGUUGCAGCACUGUUCACAAUAGCUAAGGUUUGGAAGCAACCUAAGUGUCCAUCAACAGAUGAAUGGAUAAAGAAAAUGUGGUACAUGUACACAAGGGAGUACUAUUCAGCCAUAAAAAAGAAUGAGAUCCAGUUAUUUGCAGCAACAUGGAUAAAACUGGAGAUCAUUAUAUGAAGUGAAAUAAAC
RNAcentral lists this long non-coding RNA (1195 nucleotides) under Homo sapiens (human). Its description in RNAcentral is "HSALNT0229207". Lineage: Eukaryota; Metazoa; Chordata; Mammalia; Primates; Hominidae. The record is from RNAcentral.